Molecule: unclassified non-coding RNA, 342 nt
Filed under: soil metagenome
Description: partial contains 5.8S ribosomal RNA, internal transcribed spacer 2, and large subunit ribosomal RNA
Rfam family: 5.8S ribosomal RNA (bases 1-119)
Source: RNAcentral
GAUGAAGAACGUAGCGAAAUGCGAUAGUAAUGUGAAUUGCAGAAUUCAGUGAAUCAUCGAGUUUUUGAACGCAUAUUGCGCCCUCUGGUAUUCCGGGGGGCAUGCCUGUUCGAGCGUCAUUAAAUAACCCUCAAGCAUAGCUUGGUGUUGGGCUUUUUUACGUCCUUGACUGGGAUGGGCCUAAAAAUUAGUGGCGAUGGCUUUUUUACUUUCAAGCGUAGUAAAUCUCGUCUUGCUAAAGAGGAAAAAGAUUUUUUUUCUGCCAAAAAUUUUAACAUUUAAAGUUGACCUCGGAUCAGGUAGGAUUACCCGCUGAACUUAAGCAUAUCAAUAAGCGGAGGA